CGCGGGGUGGAGCAGUUUGGUAGCUCGUCAGGCUCAUAACCUGAAGGUCGCAGGUUCAAAUCCUGCCCCCGCUACCA
Molecule: transfer RNA, 77 nt
Filed under: Candidatus Cloacimonadota bacterium
Lineage: Bacteria; Pseudomonadati; Candidatus Cloacimonadota
Also listed under: 1 other name
Description: tRNA-Met
Rfam family: tRNA
About the family: Transfer RNA (tRNA) molecules are approximately 80 nucleotides in length. Their secondary structure includes four short double-helical elements and three loops (D, anti-codon, and T loops). Further hydrogen bonds mediate the characteristic L-shaped molecular structure. tRNAs have two regions of fundamental functional importance: the anti-codon, which is responsible for specific mRNA codon recognition, and the 3' end, to which the tRNAs corresponding amino acid is attached (by aminoacyl-tRNA synthetases). tRNAs cope with the degeneracy of the genetic code in two manners: having more than one tRNA (with a specific anti-codon) for a particular amino acid; and 'wobble' base-pairing, i.e. permitting non-standard base-pairing at the 3rd anti-codon position.
Source: RNAcentral